GAAGCCGGAAGAGAUUCUGGUGUGCCUUCGGGAACUGUAAGACAGGUGCUGCAUGGCUGUCGUCAGCUCGUGUUGUGAAAUGUUGGGUUAAGUCCCGUAACGAGCGCAACCCUUGUCCUUAUUUGCCAGCGAGUAAUGUCGGGAACUCUAAGGAGACUGCCGGUGACAAACCGGAGGAAGGUGGGGACGACGUCAAGUCAUCAUGGCCCUUACGGGUAGGGCUACACACGUGCUACAAUGGCCGGUACAAAGGGCUGCGAGCUCGCGAGAGUCAGCGAAUCCCUUAAAGCCGGUCUCAGUCCGGAUCGGAGUCUGCAACUCGACUCCGUGAAGUCGGAAUCGCUAGUAAUCGUGAAUCAGAAUGUCACGGUGAAUACGUUCCCGGGCCUUGUACACACCGCCCGUCACACCAUGGGAGUGGACUGCACCAGAAGUGGUUAGCCUAACGCAAGAGGGCGAUCACCACGGUGUGGUUCAUGACUGGGGUGAAGUCGUAACAAGGUAACCGUAAAGGGCG
This 517-nucleotide ribosomal RNA is filed under the name uncultured bacterium. RNAcentral describes it as "bacterial SSU rRNA". It matches the Rfam family "Bacterial small subunit ribosomal RNA", at positions 993 to 1511 of the family's 1533-position model. The record is from RNAcentral.